This 490-nucleotide ribosomal RNA is filed under the name uncultured bacterium. RNAcentral describes it as "partial 16S ribosomal RNA". It matches the Rfam family "Bacterial small subunit ribosomal RNA", at positions 30 to 507 of the family's 1533-position model. The record is from RNAcentral.
AUUGAACGCUGGCGGCAUGCCUUACACAUGCAAGUCGAACGGCAGCAUGAUCUAGCUUGCUCGAUUGAUGGCGAGUGGCGAACGGGUGAGUCAUACAUCGGAACGUGCUCUGUAGCGGGGGAUAACUAGUCGAAAGAUUAGCUAAUACCGCAUACGACCUGAGGGUGAAAGUGGGGGACCGCAAGGCCUCAUGCUUUUGGAGCGGCCGUUGUUGGAUUAGCUAGUUGGUGAGGUAAAGGCUCACCAAGGCGACGAUCAGUAGCUGGUCUGAGAGGACGAUCAGCCACACUGGGACUGAGACACGGCCCAGACUCCUACGGGAGGCAGCAGUGGGGAAUUUUGGACAAUGGGCGAAAGCCUGAUCCAGCAAUGCCGCGUGUGUGAAGAAGGCCUUCGGGUUGUAAAGCACUGUUGUCCGGAAAGAAAUGGCUCUGGUUAAUACCUGGGGUCGAUGACGGUACCGGAAGAAUAAGGACCGGCUAACUACGUG